Molecule: ribosomal RNA, 1517 nt
Filed under: Clostridium botulinum
Lineage: Bacteria; Bacillati; Bacillota; Clostridia; Eubacteriales; Clostridiaceae
Description: bacterial SSU rRNA
Rfam family: Bacterial small subunit ribosomal RNA
Source: RNAcentral
UUUAAAUUUAGAGUUUGAUCCUGGCUCAGGACGAACGCUGGCGGCGUGCUUAACACAUGCAAGUCGAGCGAUGAAGCUUCCUUCGGGGAGUGGAUUAGCGGCGGACGGGUGAGUAACACGUGGGUAACCUGCCUCAAAGUGGGGGAUAGCCUUCCGAAAGGAAGAUUAAUACCGCAUAAUAUAAGAGAAUCGCAUGAUUUUCUUAUCAAAGAUUUAUUGCUUUGAGAUGGACCCGCGGCGCAUUAGCUAGUUGGUAAGGUAACGGCUUACCAAGGCAACGAUGCGUAGCCGACCUGAGAGGGUGAUCGGCCACAUUGGAACUGAGACACGGUCCAGACUCCUACGGGAGGCAGCAGUGGGGAAUAUUGCGCAAUGGGGGAAACCCUGACGCAGCAACGCCGCGUGGGUGAUGAAGGUCUUCGGAUUGUAAAGCCCUGUUUUCUAGGACGAUAAUGACGGUACUAGAGGAGGAAGCCACGGCUAACUACGUGCCAGCAGCCGCGGUAAUACGUAGGUGGCGAGCGUUGUCCGGAUUUACUGGGCGUAAAGGGUGCGUAGGCGGAUGUUUAAGUGGGAUGUGAAAUCCCCGGGCUUAACCUGGGGGCUGCAUUCCAAACUGGAUAUCUAGAGUGCAGGAGAGGAAAGCGGAAUUCCUAGUGUAGCGGUGAAAUGCGUAGAGAUUAGGAAGAACACCAGUGGCGAAGGCGGCUUUCUGGACUGUAACUGACGCUGAGGCACGAAAGCGUGGGUAGCAAACAGGAUUAGAUACCCUGGUAGUCCACGCCGUAAACGAUGGAUACUAGGUGUAGGGGGUAUCAACUCCCCCUGUGCCGCAGUUAACACAAUAAGUAUCCCGCCUGGGGAGUACGGUCGCAAGAUUAAAACUCAAAGGAAUUGACGGGGGCCCGCACAAGCAGCGGAGCAUGUGGUUUAAUUCGAAGCAACGCGAAGAACCUUACCUGGACUUGACAUCCCUUGCAUAGCCUAGAGAUAGGUGAAGCCCUUCGGGGCAAGGAGACAGGUGGUGCAUGGUUGUCGUCAGCUCGUGUCGUGAGAUGUUAGGUUAAGUCCUGCAACGAGCGCAACCCUUGUUAUUAGUUGCUACCAUUAAGUUGAGCACUCUAAUGAGACUGCCUGGGUAACCAGGAGGAAGGUGGGGAUGACGUCAAAUCAUCAUGCCCCUUAUGUCCAGGGCUACACACGUGCUACAAUGGUAGGUACAAUAAGACGCAAGACCGUGAGGUGGAGCAAAACUUAUAAAACCUAUCUCAGUUCGGAUUGUAGGCUGCAACUCGCCUACAUGAAGCUGGAGUUGCUAGUAAUCGCGAAUCAGAAUGUCGCGGUGAAUACGUUCCCGGGCCUUGUACACACCGCCCGUCACACCAUGAGAGCUGGUAACACCCGAAGUCCGUGAGGUAACCGUAAGGAGCCAGCGGCCGAAGGUGGGAUUAGUGAUUGGGGUGAAGUCGUAACAAGGUAGCCGUAGGAGAACCUGCGGCUGGAUCACCUCCUUUCUA